RNAcentral lists this ribosomal RNA (212 nucleotides) under uncultured bacterium. RNAcentral's name for it is "partial 16S ribosomal RNA". It matches the Rfam family "Bacterial small subunit ribosomal RNA", at positions 1289 to 1500 of the family's 1533-position model. The record is from RNAcentral.
CAGUUCGGAUUGUAGUCUGCAACUCGACUACAUGAAGCUGGAAUCGCUAGUAAUCGCGGAUCAGAAUGCCGCGGUGAAUACGUUCCCGGGUCUUGUACACACCGCCCGUCACACCAUGGGAGUCGGGAAUGCCCGAAGCCAGUGACCCAAGCGAAAGCAGGGAGCUGUCGAAGGCAGGCCGGAUAACUGGGGUGAAGUCGUAACAAGGUACC